UGGGGACUCUUCGGAGCCUGGCGCUUUUGGAUGAGCCUGCGUCGGAUUAGCUUGUGUGGGGUAAAGGCCUACCAAGGCAACGAUCCGUAGCUGGUCUGAGAGGAUGAUCAGCCACACUGGGACUGAGACACGGCCCAGACUCCUACGGGAGGCAGCAGUGGGGAAUAUUGGGCAAUGGGCGAAAAGCCUGACCCAGGCAAUGCCGCGUGUGGUGAAGAAGGCCUUAGGGUUGUAAAGCACUUUCGCUGGGGGAAGAAAGUCUACAUGGUUAAUAGCCUUGUAGUAUGACGUUAUCCAGUAAAGAAGCACCGGCUAACUCUGUGCCAGCAGCCGCGGUAA
This 339-nucleotide ribosomal RNA is filed under the name uncultured bacterium. RNAcentral describes it as "bacterial SSU rRNA". It matches the Rfam family "Bacterial small subunit ribosomal RNA", at positions 191 to 523 of the family's 1533-position model. The record is from RNAcentral.